This 424-nucleotide ribosomal RNA is filed under the name uncultured bacterium. Its description in RNAcentral is "bacterial SSU rRNA". It matches the Rfam family "Bacterial small subunit ribosomal RNA", at positions 355 to 796 of the family's 1533-position model. The record is from RNAcentral.
UGGGGAAUCUUGGACAAUGGGCGCAAGCCUGAUCCAGCCAUGCCGCGUGAGUGACGAAGGCCUUAGGGUUGUAAAGCUCUUUCGGCGGGGAAGAUAAUGACGGUACCCGCAGAAGAAGCCCCGGCUAACUCCGUGCCAGCAGCCGCGGUGAUACGGAGGGGGCUAGCGUUGUUCGGAAUUACUGGGCGUAAAGCGCACGUAGGCGGACUGUUAAGUCGGGGGUGAAAGCCCAGGGCUCAACCCUGGAAUGGCCUUCGAUACUGGCAGUCUUGAGAAUGGGAGAGGUGAGUGGAAUUCCUAGUGUAGAGGUGAAAUUCGUAGAUAUUAGGAAGAACACCAGUGGCGAAGGCGGCUCACUGGCCCAUUUCUGACGCUGAGGUGCGAAAGCGUGGGGAGCAAACAGGAUUAGAUACCCGGGUAGUCC